UUUUUUUUUUUUGAGGAAGAUUAGCUCUGAGCUAACAUCUGCUGCCAAUCCUCCUCUUUUUUGCUGAGGAAGACUGGCCCUGAGCUAACAUCUGUGCCCAUCUUCCUCUGCUUUAUAUGUGAGACGCCUCCCACACCAUGGCUUGCCAAGCGAUGUGUAUGUCCGCACUCGGGGUCUGAACCAGCGAACCCUGGGCUGCUGAAGUGGAAUAUGUAAACUUAACCUCUGCACCACCAGGCUGGCCCCCAUAGAUUCUAAUAUUACCACAAGAUUGGAGAAUCACUGCUCUUGUUGUCAGAGUAUGUUGUUAAAGUAUAUUUACUGAAUUCAUCCUCAUUGUUUGUAUUAUUCCUUAACUAAAUAUAAUCUCAUUUAUAAUAGAAGGACAAAGUGGAUACUGCUAUGUAAGAAAAGUUUAGGCAUGAAAAACAAUUAUCACUCUUGCCCUAUAACCCUAAAAUUAAGGAAGAGAAAAGUUAUCAAGCACCUUUCACAUAAAUUGCUUAAUUUAAUCUUUACAACAACUCUGUUGUAUACCCUGGUUUUCUGAAUAUGUUACAGACAAAAAACUGAAGCUCAUAGAGUAAAUUGCCAAGUUCACACAGAUGUUAAACGUCAAAGCCAGGAUUCAGAGUCCCUACUCUUUCUACUAUAUCAUAUUAUUUUUUUCCCUUAAUUCAAGAAACCUUUACCGAGUUCCUAUUAUAUUAAGUGAUAAUGUCUAGCUUUGAGGGCAAAAAGUGUAUUAUACUGAUACGGUAUAAUACUUAUUGCUUACAUCAUGUAAAAGAAAUAGAAAUUCUUUUUCUUAUGUUUCCAUUGAGAAACAAUUUUUAGCUAGAGGUAGAAUUUAAGUCUUCUGGAUGGUCAGAAAGGGUCUAAGUAGUAAUAAUAAUUGUAAUCAUUGGACUGUUGUCUAUGGGAUCUCUUUUAACCCCCAUGCCUUUGCUAUGAGGCAUUUUUUAACUCAGUUUACAAAUAAGCCAGAUUUGGGAUGGUUAAGUGACUUACCCAAGGUUGCAGAGCAAGUAAGUGGCAGAACCAGAUUGAACUCUGGUUCAAUCUACUUUAACAGCAAAGUUAGUGUUCUUAACCACCCAUAUAUGCAGUUUCUAACUCUGCUUUACAGUUAACCUGUAGAAUCAGGCUGUUCCUCCAUUUGAUACGUACAAGCCACUAAGUGCUAAUUAAAUGUUGUGGUCCUUAAGUUCAUUUCCUUUGAAGGGAACUAACCAUUUUGCCACACUUAAUCAGUCCAGUAAUUUCUUUUUAAAGUCUUGUAAAGUUUGGUGUUAACGAUGUAUAAUACUUUAGGGAAAUCAGUAGGAGUGAACAAUCUUUUGUUUGUAUUUGUAUUUGAGAGUUGAAACUCUUUGAUGGGACAGAUUAUUUGAAUAAAAGUUUCAACCUUAUCUGUUAUAACAUGCCAUGAAACACAAAAAUUUCAUGGCAUAGCCAUUGUUAUUGGUCUUAAAAUAAUUGAUUUAAAAUCCAAUGAAAGUAUUAAUAGAAUCAAUGCAACAGGGCUUCAUAAAAUCUAAAAACUGAUUCCUGAGUGUUACUGAUGUUCUUGUUGGAAAAAAAAUGCUUCCUAGUAUAAAAGGACAGUCUAUGUACACAGUGUAGUGUGCAAACUAAUACAAUUUCUCGUUUAUCUAGGAUAUGAAUUGCUAAAGAUGUUGUGUUUAUACAUUUUUAUAGAUUUACUAGUAUUUUAAAUAGGGGUAUUAAUUUAAAGGAACUCUGACAUGUAUCUUUUAAGUGUGAAAAUAAUCAUGAUGUUUACAUUUUUUGAUGUGAAAAUAAUCAAAAUAAUCAUGAAAAUAAUCAUGAUUUUUACAUUUUUUGAUAUACAUGUAUUUUGGGAAUAUUAUUCAUUCCUCUAUAAUUAUGUAUUAAAAGAUACAUUUUUUAAAAGACCCACAAAGUCACUAACCAGGAGAUGUAGUGUUAUCCUUAGCAGACCUAAAGUUUAUUGGAAAUUUGGGAUCUAUUUUAACUUUCUUUUCUAAGGAAUGUCUUUUCCCAAGUGUCAUUCUUUUCAAUUCUAUCAAAUGAACGCUAACCAUGAAGAGGGAAGGGUGAAAAUAUAAAAUGAAGAAGUUUGCCUAUACUCCUUUUACAGAUGGAGAAAUUAAAACUUGAUUUUUUCGAAAGUCCCAUUUAGCAGCAGAGCACAGAUUGGAAAAUUUGGUCGGUGAUUUAUUUAGGCUCCGCAGGGAAAAUCCUGUAGGGUGUUUUCGAAUAUCCUAAAUUUAUUUUGAUUUGAGAGCUGCUUGAAGGGCAUGUCUAUCUUAAAACAGUUCUCCAUUUUCCUGAGAAAAAUUCCAGUGGAGCUAGUUGUGGGAGGUAGUCUCCCGACAAUGAACCUUUUGGGGCCAAAUAAGCACUUUAACACAACUUACUCCAUCCCUUUCCUUAAACCAAAGCCUGUCUUGCCCACUGGGCUUGUUUAGCUUUGACUGCUCAUUUUAUUUCUCUGCAGAGGCAAAGGAGACAGGAAAAAGGAGGGAAAAUAACUGAUGGCAUGUGGGUGAGGUUUUGGCUCAGGGAAUACGUUUUGAAAGAUCCUAACGAGUGUGGGGAUGGGGAAAGCAGUUGGUGUCUGAAACUCACCCCUGUUCUAGAGAUUGAGAAACAGAAACCAAGAGAGGUUAAAUAACUUGCCUGAAGUUACAUGGCACUUUCCAAUGUUGGGGUUGGUCCUGCGCACUAGGCAACUCAUUGCUUUACUAAAACAGCUGGAUAACCCAGCUUCUCUGUUGAUCAAGGUGCGCUUCUACCAUCCCUGCUCCUUUUGACUUCCCUCUUUAAUUUUUUUGAAUACUCUUUUUUAAAAUCUAAAAAAAUCAUUCUGCUUAUAAUUUCGAGUUUAGAAACUCAUUGAACAAAUAUCUUUUGACUAUUCAGGCCAUUUAGAACUAGCCAACCUGUGAGGACAGUGUGGGCCAUGUGAAGCCUUCUGCUUCCAUAUUGUUGGGAUUUUAUGUAAGUAAUGAACAUGGAACCAGAAAAGAAAAUGGCUUUAAAUAAAUUGAGUCUGAGCUCCUGGCAGAGCUCUAAACAUGAUAAAUGUGGUGGGCACCUAAUAAAAAAUAGACCUUUUUUUGAAGUCCUAAUUGCAGCUGAUCUUUGGAUUUUGAAAUUAAACAUCCGCUAAGGUUUGAUAAUUUUUCCUAAAUUGUUGUCAUUAUAUGGAUUUAGGGUGGAUAAGGGGACCAUGGUAGAAAUAUGAAUCAGUACUUUAAUCUUCCAUAAAGGGUUUAUAACUGCCCCAAACAUCCCCUCUGUUUGGACCCCAUGGGGAAAUUGCUUCUUGGCCCUAGUAUCACUCUGUCAAAGUUGUGAGUAUAUAUUGAAUUAAUUUCUCACUGAUAUAAUGAAUAUUUGCUUUAAAAAAAUAGUAAAACUUUUUUGAUGUUGAGGUGCCUGAUGAGUACUAUGGUUUACCUCUUAACGCCAUUAGUGUGGUUCUAGAUACCAAGCAAACUCAACUAGAAGAUAAGUUUUAUUUGGUUCCGAGGGACUAAUUAAAUGAAUAUACAGCAGAGCUUAGAAGUGAUGUCAUCAUAUCAGACAUGGUGCGAACAGGUCCCAGUGCACUAACAGAUCCUCUGCAUUUUUAUUAGGAAAUAUUUAAGAGUUUUGCAGAGCUCCAAAAUUCCAAUGAAAGUCAGGUAGAUGUCCUCAUAUUGACAUAUCUGCAGAUUUGGUUUCUAUUCUAAGAACUGCAGUUUGAAUUAAUUGAGGUCAGAAGCAGCUACCCAUUUGUGUCCCAUCUACUUGCAAAUAGCAGCUUGUUUCCUUUUAGGGUCUGACGAGGUGGUGGUUGAUUUCUAUAUCUUAGUAAUAAAAUCAAUGGCGGCAGCACACAUAGGCUAAUUGUUAGAAUUGUAAGGCUUUGUUAGAAAUGGAAUAUAGGCUUUUGGUAAUACUCUUAAAUUCACACCAAUUGUCAGGAAAUUAAAUAUGGUUCUUUAAGAAAUAUAUCGCAGGAGGCUUAAACUAGAUGUGGUUAAAAAAAAAAAAACCCAAAACCUCUUCACAGGCAUUUAGUUAUUUUCUACCCAAAAAAGUAAUUUUCCUUUUAUCUGUAUCUUUACUAAGCCUUUAAGAUGAAAGAGGAGAGUGACCGCCAUAGAAUGACAGUGACCUAAAAGUGUAAAAUUAGAGUUAGUGGAGUUUGUGUAAUCUUGAGGACAAAUAUAAUCCAAAAUAUUUAUCAGUGAACUCAAAGGGCAAAUGCUGCUUUCAGCAUACUGCAAAUAAAAUGCUUAAUUAAAAGUCCCUAAAAUAUAACAACUUGUUCUUAAGCGAUUACGUUGUGUCUGAAGAAAUUAAGACUGAAAAAAAAAGUUAAAAGAAAGAAAGAAGAAGCUGGUUGUGAUAAAUUUUUUCUUACAUUUAGGUACUUUUAAGAAUUGUUUUUAUUAAUUUCUAAAUUUGAGUGAGAGGGAGAUAGGCUUGGAUUAAUUGCCAUUUGAAUAGGCAGUUUCAGAUUUGUAGGCAUCUUCUGAACCAGGAUGGAAAGACCAUAGAAAAAAGUCUAGUGUGGAAAUGAUAUUUCAUGUGGUGAAACAGAAACUCAAGAAGUUUCCUGUGAUAAUAAGGUGAAAGUGGUUACCAAAGAAACAAAAGUUUCUUAUCACUCUGCCUGAGGCAAAUGUGGCAUAUUAAGCUUAAAAUGAAUUCUCCUCUCCUGAAUGCACACAACUCUUAUUAAUGUCUUGGAAAUUAUGCACACAUAGGAAAAGAGGAAUAAGAUUUUCUGGAUACAUUUGAGUAAGCAUCCAUUGGGAUAUGGGAGCUUUCUCAUGUCUAUGGCUACUUUAGCACCGAAGUGACCAAAAAUCAAUUUUUGCUAUUUUACCUUUUACUCGGGUUUAACUUUGGACUGAAUGACUUGCUUUCAUCUUAAAAGGGGCCUUUCUUUCCGUGAGAGUUAGGUUCCCUGGUGGCCUGAAAGAGUUAAUGCAGUUUCCAAGAGUGUCCAACUUACUUCCAGGGAGUAGUGCCUGCAUGUGAGAGUCUGGCUCCAGGAUAUUUGUUCACAUCCCAAAACCAAUUUGGCACAACUUAAAAUGUCUGCUAGGGAGAGGAUUCAGAGUGUUGUUAGGCCACGCAAUUAGUGCUUUAUUUCAUGAGCACCAAAUUCACCCAAUAGUGUUUUGUUUUAAAGAAGAGCUUGAAAUUCACAAUAACGGGUUUCAUUUAUCAGAGCCAUAUGGGACUCACCAUCUUUGGAUAUAUUUGUAAGGCUCUCACAAAGAAGACUCCUUAGGCAUCUCAGAUUUCACGGAUUGGAGGGCAAUCUGGAUGAAUAUCUUUUUUGGAAAUGAUGAACUAUCUUUUUCAUAUGUAGUCUCCAAUUUCAGUAAUCCUUGAGAAGCUCAAAAAAACAGGAAAGAGUUAAGUAAACCUCAGCUUAUUAGCUUUGACUGGAAAACAAAGACCAUGAUUCUUAGAUCGGUUCAAAUGCCAAGUGUACCUUUGAUGUUGAAAUUGGGCCAUCUAAUCUUUGCAGUUUGUGAUGUGGCAUUUAUGAGAGGGAAGGUGGGUUCUAAGUCUCAACCUAUUUUUGCACUUUUUGCUAGUUCUGUCAUGGUCAUAUGUCAAUGGAUCGUUGGGAAGCUAUCUGCAACAUAGCAGACUGAUAAUAGAGCAUUGUAGUUUUUUUGAUGCUUAUCCAAGAUUAUUUCUUUAUUGCCUCCUCCUUUUCCAUACUUCUCUGAUCAUUAGGGAUCUAUUUUAAUGCAAUAUAUUCUCGAAAAUGUCAAUACAAGUUGAUUUUUUUGAUAAAUCUCAUAUUUGCCUACUGAUCUGUAAAUUUAGAGAUUUAAAAAUAAAAUCAGAUUGAUCUUCAUUUGGGGGCGGUUGCUAAUACUUAAUUUUUGGUUCCUAGAUUCUGUUAAGCUAUUCAUGACCUAUAAACAAAUAUUUAAGUGUUUACUAAUUAAAAAUGAAUAUAUUUUUAAAGGAUAGAGUGCUAUUGUGUUAUGACAGGCAACCACUAUUUUUUUAGGUUUUCAAAUUUUUGUUUUCUCAGUUCUGUAGGCUUUCUUGCAAAGGGCGUACUUGAUUGUGUUUGAUAAAUCUGGUAAAUCAGAAUAUUUGUGAGUCAUAAAUAGUACUAUAACAAUUACUACUGAGUUAUAAGGUCUAUGUAAACUCCAUGAGGAUGGUAAUUUGGGUUUUAUUUUAAAUUGUUAUGGUAAGUUGGCAAUUAUUUGAAAUAAUGCUUGCUCAUCUUUAAAUACCAUUUUAUUGUAUUCAGUCUUACUUUAUUAUCCUCUAGUUUAUUUUUUAUAAAAACUUUUAACACUUCAUUUGCUAAUGAUGUUUGUAUUAUCAUGAUUUAGGUUUCCCCGAGAGUGUCCGCUAAACUUUGUUCAGUUAUGAGCAUUGUUGAAUAACAUUAAAUUAAAAUAAAAUAUACUGUAUUCUUAGCUGCUUUUAAACUUUAUAUUGAUACCAAUGUCAUAUAUUUUAAAUAUUAUUUCAUAAAGAUUUAAAAAUCUACUCCCUACCAUCCCAUUUCUUCUCUCAUCUGCGUUAUACACUACAGAAAGAGCAGUUAGACCUCUGUUACCUGGCACUCCUGUAGGGUGCACACUUGUAUUGCUAUAUGUCAUUGACCCCCGUACUUUAGGCUGAUGAGGCUGCUGGACAAUAGGUAGAACAUUGGAAUCAUAGAAUGAGCUGUAACUGCUUAAAUCAACUUGAGCUUUAAUUGUGCUAGGUGGUUGAAUGAUAUUCUGUCUAUAUUUCCUUCUUAGUCAAAUGUUCUAAAAUCAUUUAAUGAGUCAAUUGCUAAAAUACUCUUAGGAUUGUUAUAUUAUUUUUUUCCCUACAAAAAUAGAUAUUGUGACCCAAUGAGGUUAAAUGAUUUUUUCACUGAAAAAGUCAUUUUGAAACUAAACAUUCACCCGGUUUUUGGGUGAUGCCUGGUAUUUUCCAUAAGAAUUUUGAAAUAUUUUAUUUGGGAAAAAGAUAUAGUGUUGGGAUAGUAGCCAAAGGCAAAAAGAAAUGAAAGAUGGCAGAAAGACUCAGGAUAGAAUGUGUGGAUAUAGAUACAUUGGCAUUUCAUAGGUCUUUGGAUUUAGUAUAAACUGUAGGCUAUGAAGAGAAGAUAGACACAUGGAUCGAACAAGAAAAUGUGGAUGCAAUGAUCAAUAGUUAAUUUUUUUAUGAAUAUUUCUACUAAAGGACAGAUGAUUGGGGAAAGAAGGACAUAAUUUGAUGGGGUGUAUGUGUGAAUGGUAAAACAGUUGAAUGCUGAGAGGUGAGUGUGAAGAAAAGAGAUAAAGAUUAUAUGUAGUUUUGUGGCUCUAACUGUCUAGUUUUCUGCAUUUUCAUUGAGUUUCUGUGUAGGGAUGAAUGACUCCUGUAUAUAAUGUUCUUGGUAUAAAUAGAAUCCAUAAAUCAUUUGGGUUGAGAAGGAAUUUUAUUUCCUUGUGAAGAUAAACCUGUUUGAUUUUGAGGUGUGGUGAGCUAUUAUUCUUACUUUAUGGUCAGAGUAAAGUUUAUAUUGUUUUUGUUCAAAUUGUAAUAUGAGUAUAAUUACGUGGAGCAGAUGUGUGUGUGUGUAUGAGUGUGUACACUUGUAAAGAAGGACACUUUCAUUUCUGUCUCUUUGUUGAUCUGUCUCUUUCUGUUUCUCCUGUCUGCUGCUUUUUGCUUGCCAGUUUUUCUUUGUCUCGAUCAUUUUAUCAUUGAACCCAUCUGUGUAGAAAACAGAAUGACUGGUUUUCUAAUUUUUAAUGAUUUUUUAUUUUUUGUUAUUUUGUUCUCUCAACUUGUUUUCAUCUCAAGAAUUAAGGCUCAAGUAUAAGGCGUUUUAGUUCUCACAUUCAAGAGGUGUUUCUGCUUUCGUUCCCGUCCGUUUGUCCAUAUGUUUACUGGUCUCUGAUAGGCUGUGCAGUGAGACAGCAGUUUACUCUGUGCAUGUGUGUGUGUGUGAAAUUAGCUAAUUGGUGUUAGUAGAAAUAUUUUCACAUGUUUUAUAAGCAAAGUGCAGCAAGGUAUAUACAUGUAGAUAUGAUCCAGACACGCGCACGCUCACGACUGUCACUGCUCAUGCAUAGGCGCUCAGAAGUAAUUAAUGUUAAUAAGAUUUUAAUGUGCUUGUGAGAUCAUAAUGAGGAGAAAUGAAUGCUCUGAUUAGGAAAAGGUAACUGUGUGUGUGUUUUGGCUUAGAACAAGAUUUCAAUUUUUAUAAACCGCAAUUUUAGAACUUGUUUGUGAUUGCAUCAAUUGGUUUUUAUUUUCAAAUUAGAGGUCUGUUUAGCCAUUUGAAUGAUUAACCAAAUAAAUGGGUGAAACCCUGAUCAUAAGGAAUAGUGCAGGUUUUCAUUUGCAAGGCAAUGUUAGUGUACAGCAAGGCUAUGAUCAUGUCUUUUGCCAAUGAACCAUUUUUUUGUUGUUUUUUAAAAAGCUUUUUCAGAAGCUACUUGUGGAGCUAGUACUCAUUUUUAUAAAUGUAGAUGUUAUCUAUAUGUUCUGGAGACACCAGUCAGACACUGUAACAUUGUGUCUGAGAUACAUUCCUGCCAGUCAGUAAAGGUGGAUUCAGUGUCCAAAGAAUCUGUAUCAUGCUUCCUGAAAUGUUUAUGGGGAAAGAUGUAAAAUAAGCAAGAUUUUUUUUCCCUAAACAUGAUCUUUACAAAUUUUAGAGGCUUGACAUUUUUAAUGGUGAAGAAAAAUAUCUCAAAGUUAAGUAAAGAUGCUGUCUCAUCAUGGGCUCAAGUGUUGUGCAGUCAAGAGCCGCAGUAUAGACUGGCUCGAAUCCAGCUGGACACCAGGGGUCCUUCUCCACAACAAAUUUUUUGAAAAUAUUGUUUACAAACCUUUGGCAUACAUUUGCAUUAUUAUUAUUUUUUAAUUAUAGGAUGAAUCUAAAUAUCUAUUAAGGGCCCUUGCCCUGUAGCGCAUAGAAAUCACUUACGCAUUUUUUAAUAUAAGUAGUGGAUUAAGAUAUUCAAGGAUUGUAAUCUCUUUUAAAAGUAAGUAUAGUACUGAAAUGUACGAAGUCUUGGAUAUGAAUUGGGGUUUAGGGUAGUGUAGUUUAUUUCCAGCUAAAUUUUACAGACAUGGUUUAGGUUCUCCUAGGUUUCGGUUAUAUUACUACAAUCUUUCUGCUGGGGCUUAAAAAUGAUGGGGAAGAAAGAGAAGGUGUUAGAGUUUGUUCUAUUGAACAAUUCUGCAAUUUCUGUGAUUCCCAGAGGUCUGUUGGAUUUUGCUUUCCAUAGAAUCCGUAGGAAUGAUGAUUAUCUAACCAAAAGAGUCAUUUGCCUUUAACAGUGUUUAGUUGACUUUCUUGGGUCAUUGAAGCUUAGUUAGGAAAAUUUUUCCCACUUGCAGUUUGUAGAGGAAUUCAUUUAUGUUUUUCACAGUCCUUGUACAGUUUCCUAUUGUUAGUAUUCCCAUGCGGUCAUAUAUAUUUUUACAUUUUCUAUUCUGUGCCAUUGGUCUGUCUAUUCAUAUGUCAUUAUCACAUUAUUUUGAUUAGAAUAUAUUUUAAUAUCUGAAGCGUUAGGCUCCCUCCCCACCCCAGCCCUUGCUCUUCUUUUUCAAGGUUUUCCUGGCUUUUCUCACUUAUUUGUUAUUCCAAAUUAAGUUUAUAAUCAACUAGCAGAACGGGAGGGGAAAAAAAUCUGAUGGUAUCUUUAUUGGAAUUAUGAUAAAUUCACGAAUUAACAUAGGGAUAAUUAAUAUCUUUAUGAGGUUGAAUCUUCUUAUCCAAGAACUUGCUGUUCUUUCCAUUUCUUCAUAAUUUUUGUCUUUCAGAAAUGUUAUAGAGCUUUCCUUAUAGAGGUUUUAAACAUUUGUUACUAAGUUUGUUUCUUGGUGUUCUAUUCGUUUAUUUAUUUACCUGCCUACUUACUUUUUUACAUAACUUACUACCCUAAACAGUCUCCUCUUCUGUAAUAUUUACUAAAUGGCUUUUUGUUUCUAUAUAGGAGCUAUUGAUUUUUGUAUGUUAAUUUUGGCAAACUCCCGCUUUGCAAAAUUCUUUUAUUGUCUGUGGUAGCCUGAUGGCUUUGAAGCCCCAUUCUAGCACAGUGCUCGGUAUCUCUGAGACCAUGGACAAGUUAUUCUGAGCCAUUUUUCUUAUCUGUAAAGUCCCCAGAUAAGAAAACCAAACUCCUAGACUGAUGGAGAGUAAAUGAGAUCAUAUAGUAAAGCAGCUAAUAUUUUGCCCAGCACAUAGUAGGCACUCGAUUACUGAUAUCCAUUACUAAUGUAACGCAAUAUAUGACAUGUUAUUCUUGUCUUGUAAUAUGUUAUUUUCAUUAUUAUUCUUAAAAUCUGGCUACUGAACUAUAGAAUUAUUGAAGGUUUAUCGUAUCAGAGUUUUUACUUCAAGAAUGGAGUGAAUUAAAGAAAUGAAAAAAACUUAAACUUUCUGAUUAACUUUGUGAUUUAAGACACUAGGGACUGAAGAUUAAUUCUGAGAUUAGGGCGUUUUGUAGUUUUGCACAUAUAUUUCCAUUACUUUUGUUUUAAUUAUGAUUAUUGCAUGCAAGACUCCUUAGCUCUGGAGAGUAAGUGGAGGGAACGUCUUGAUCACCUAGAGUGAAUAUUCAAAGCAAUUUCUUGAGUGCAUUGAUUCUAGUGCUCGCUAGCUACGUAAGUGGAUGUGAGCAUCUAAUUUAAAGUUCUGUAACCAUUAUGUUCUCCCUCAAAAAUCUGCAACUUUGCUACGUUUUCUUAGUAAACAAUGUACUAACUUGUGAAUGAACUUGUGCAGAAUAAGUAUUAGACAUAUAUGAACUCAUGAUGAUAUUGAUGUAAGCAGAAUAAUAGUGCUUGCCAGCCCAUUAUGUAACACUUUUGAUAAAGUUGGUGAAAAAACAAUAAUUGAUAAAAAUGUAGUCCAGUGUAGUAGUCUCAUGAUUUUUAAGCUUCACUCUAAUUUAAUAAAAUGGAUGCUAACUUUGCAAAUACACUCUUAAUUCAUCUGAAAUAUCUAUUGUUAGAAAUGAGAAUGCCAGAGUUUCAGGUGGGCUCCUCUCAUUCCUGACUCGUGGUUGUUGUGAGGGUUUACUGAGAUAAUGCAUUAGCAUUAUAAUGUCAUUAAUUAUAAUGAUAAUGCAGGUGCCUGGCUCAUGGUAAGUGCUUGAAAAUGGUAGUUGUUUCUAUUGCUGUUAUUUUAUUAUUACCUUUGCUAGUUCUUCACUCCCACUCUCACACACAUAUUGUCCUCAUAUAUAUAUUCUUACUAGUAGUAUUGUUCUAUGCUUAGAAUAUAUGAAUGAACUAUGUCUCAUAAUGUUCAUUUACAAAUAUAAAAUUACAUAUAUAUCAUUUGCCAAUAUUGAAAUUAGCUCAGAGUGAAGUAAGACUCCAUCAUUGGAGCCUGUGAAAGCUUAGUUGCUUGUGGAUGAAAUUUUGUGGAGCUGCAAAGGUGAAGAAUAACUUCUCUCAAAGAAUUAUAGAUACAUUUUGUCCAGUUUGAAAUCUCCCAGAGUUCUGGCUUAGCACUCAGUGUAAUUACUCCUCCACAGCCACAUGGUGCCCCUUUGUUCAUUCUUUCAUGUGGAGGACAACAUAGAGUACCUGUUAGGUAUAAAACAUUGUUCUGGGUAGUAUGAGAUGUACAAAUAGUGAGAUUAGUUAGACGAACUGUCUCUAUUCAAGAAGUCUGGUAAACGAUUCAGAGAGGAGACAACUAGGUAAUGUGCAAGGACUUUGGGGCAAGAGUAUUUGGUUUGAAUCCCUGCUCUGAAACUUACUAGUUGUGUAACUUUAGUCAAGUUAUUUAGCCUAUCUGUGUUUCAGUUUCCUUACUUACAAAAUGGGGCUGAAAAUAAUACCUACUGUAUAGGAUUGUCCUGAGGAUUAAAUGAUUUGGUACAUGCACGGCAUUUAGAGCAAUAACAUAGUAAGCACUCAAUAAAUGUUGGUUAACGUUAAUGUAAUUAUUAGAUGAAGCAAAAUAAAAUUAAUGCCAUAAAACAAUAAAAACAAAGUAAUACAGUAUUAUACAGGAUGAUAAUACUAAUUUUUAUUGUAGCUGGGAGCAGUGAAAUGAAGGGAGCUUUAUGGUUGAAGUAAUGUUUAAACUGAAAACUUGAAGUGCGAUUUCUAUAGGGCGAGGAAGAGUAGAAGAGCAGGGGUGAGUUGAUUUCUAGGCUGAGGGAAUCGCCCAAGCAAAGAUUUAAAGGUGAUAGAGAAACGGAAAUGAAAACUUCUGUGGAUUCUGCAGUCAGAAAGACUCAUAUCUGAAGCCCAGCUCCACUCCUUGUUAUCCGUGUGACCCUGGGCAAGUCAGGCUCUCUUUGGGUCCUUCCUGCCCGAGAUGCGGUCUGGUGGAUCUCUCUAGGCAGUAAGCUACAGCAAUUAUGGAGCUGACCUUGUCAUGUGCUGCCUGUUGUUGGACAUAUGUAAGCCAUUAUUUUGUCUAGUUUUUAGUUGUUUAACGCAGGAGGCUAAGUCUUGUUUCUGUUACUCCAUCAUUUUCGGAAGCAGAAGACCAACAUCUUACUUUCGCUUUUCUCCUCAUUGAGCUUGGGACUUAUCGUCUCAUGCUGUCAGCACCUGUAGUUAGUUACCUUUUUUGUACUCACUACACUGCAUUACAAUUUAUAGUUUCUUAUCUGCCUCCUCGCUACACUGGCUUCUUCGAGAAUGGGGAGUCUAUCUGGUUCAUCUUUAUCACCACUACCAACCCACUACUCUGUUUGGAGUCUGGAACAUAGCAGGCAGUUAAUGAAUGCCUUUUACAUUCAAUUUAAUUACUGUGAAUUGUAGUUUAGUGCCAUACUGUGAAAGACUUUGAAUGCUAUACUAGAGUUUGGAUUUAAUCAAUAAACCACUCAGGAUUUUUGAGGAGGUGAGAGAAAUUCCCAGGGCCUUUAUUGUUUUUCAAAGACGAUAACUCUAGAAACAUAAAGAUGAAUGACAGAUGUUAGAGGUUGAAAAUAGAUGACUUAGGAUUCUAGGAAUAAUAGUGGGACUAGAAAGGGAGCAUUGACAGGAUCUGGUGAUUAUUUGGUUGGGUGCCACUAAAAGGGAUGGUGAGAAAAAUGAUGACUCAGAUUUUCAGAAAUGGUUGAUCAAUUUCUUUAGAAUGAAAUAUUAGGUUUUUUGUCUUCUUUGGCACCAAAAUGAAGGAUUGGAGUAUAAAAAUUUGAGAGUAAAAUUUCACAAUGUAAAGAAGUAAUUAAUGGUAGAGAUUUAUCUAAAUUAUGUUUUAGUUUUUUACUAGAAUAAAGCUUGAAUUUAAAGUAUUUUAUAAUUCUUCGGGGAAAUGAAUCAUGAGUUUUAUUUUAUCGUGUAGGGAUAAUUUUCUAUUGUACUACAAAUAUCAAUGUCUUUCUUUAUAUACAUUUUUCCUCAGUAUAAUCCAUUUUAUUUGGAUGCUACAUUUCUAUAUAUUUUUCUUUCCCUGUUAGUUUUUAGUUUUUUUCUGAAAGAUUGCUUCUUUUUAGUCUUUAGAAUAUGCUGGUAAUGGACUCAGGGCUAAAAGUUCAUUUUGUGUGGUUGAAUGGGCUAGUACCUGUAGAAUGACCUUGAGUGAGAAUAAUUUUUCUCAAAUAUAUUUUAACUUUGAUUUUGUAGUAUCAAUUUUCAUCCAAAUUGUCUUCUCUUUUUGAGAGACGUUAGAAGAGCUGCUGAGAGUAGAAGCGUGGUAGAAGUAGGGGAACAAGAAACAUUAAAACAAUUAUGGAAACCCUCCCAUGCCAAACCUUUAUGUAUAAAAUAUAGGAGUAACUAUUGGAAAAAGUUAAACACUUGUAACAAGAACUUGUUUAUAGUGGUCUGAAGGAAGUUAAUUACAACUAAUGGACUGAAUAUGUGAAAAGGAGAUAUUUCUCCCAAGGAGUUCUAUUCACUUUGGCGUAAUCCUCUAAGGAAAUAAUGUUUCGUGUAAAGUGUGAUCUAACCUGAGAAAAAUGACACAAUGUUUGAAUCAGUAAUAACAUCCUGACAAGGUAGGGUAAUAUUUUUUAUAUUAUAUCCCAUUUCUCAUUUCAGUUUCUUACGUGAACUAUGUGUUACUCCUGUUACAGAGAAUGACAGGCAGUGACUACCAUUUAUUGAAUCACCCUUUGUGCUGGUAACUGAACUGUGAGGGGCUAAAACCAUGAGUAAACGACUGAAAAAAAAGAAAAUGAAUCCACAAGCAUAAGGAAGAGGAAGCAAUAGAUGAAAGAAAUAUAAUUUUUGGAAGAUGUAAAGGAUGUAAAGGAUGGAGGAAUUCACAGAACUGAGAAAGCUAAAUACAAGUGCCUGGAGUGUGUUGUGCCAGUGAGAAAGCAAGCCAGUUCAUGCUCAAGAUCUGGCUCAAAAAUUGGAGGCAGCACUUCCUGUGGAAGACAAUAGCUGAAGUAAAAAUAAAUUAUAAUUAGUAUACUCAGAGAGAUAGGAGAAGAUAGUACUCCCAUGAAAUAUGACAGGAUGAUAUAAAAAAGGAAUAAUCAGAGAAUAAACAUUCAUAAUAGCUGAAAUAACUUUAAUAGAAGGAUUGAAAUUUUUCUGAAAAUAGAGCAAAAGGUCAAAUAAGUGGAAAAUAGGAAAGAAAAGAUAAAAGCAAACAGUCUAACAAGCCAAAAAUUUGAUUAAUAGGAGUAAACCGGGAAGAGAAAAGAAAAUGAUAGGGAAGAGAUUAUCAUAAAAUUCUAUAGUAAAAACUUUCAUAACUGAAGGACAUGAGCUUCCAGUUUGAAAGGGUCUACUGGGUGCCCAUAAAAAGUGUAAAGCAGAUCUAUAUCAAAGUACAUAACUGGAAAAUUUCAGAACACCAGCAAUAUAUAAUGAAAUAGAAGCUUCUAGAGAGAAAAUAUAAACCCUACAUGCACAUUGCCUCUAGAAUCAGAAUGAUGUCUGAUCUCUUAAUGGCAACAUUCAAAGCUAGAAAAUGUGGCUUUAAAAUUCUGAGGGAAAAUUACUUUUAACUUGUAGUUCCAAACUGUUGAUCAGGCAUGAGGAUAUUUUUAGAAAAAAGACAUUUUUAGACA
Molecule: long non-coding RNA, 14963 nt
Filed under: Equus caballus (horse)
Lineage: Eukaryota; Metazoa; Chordata; Mammalia; Perissodactyla; Equidae
Description: lncRNA (ENSECAG00000055352.1)
Source: RNAcentral